This 103-nucleotide ribosomal RNA is filed under the name uncultured eukaryote. RNAcentral describes it as "partial small subunit ribosomal RNA". The record is from RNAcentral.
UUCUUCCAAUCCUAGUCACGAUUGCUUCUCUGCGCUGGCACAUCUCGACUAAGCUUUCACAACCUGAACGUGUGAUCGCCUAUGUUGUGAGCGCUGGGAUGGU